UGGGCAUGGUGGGUGUGGCUCACCGGUACUGCUGCCGCGUGUCACACCGGCCAGCGUUUGUCUCCCGCAGCUUGGUGGCGAGGACCCGGACAAUGUUGAUGAAGAGGAUGAAGUUGAGCUGUGGGAGUGAGGGAGGGCUGCGUCUCGAGGCCGCACCCUAGCAGAGAGGGGCAAGGACUCUGGGACCCAUGACCCUGCUUAGGCUCUGCUCUGCCACUGUGUCUCCAGGUGGCUCCUUAGGCCCUUGGUUUCCCCAUGUGGACUCGGGUGGGGGUCAGCUGCUUCUUGGGCCUUGUGGCUCCAACCCUGGGGUCCAGGGAAGCCUCUAUAGGUCCCUGUCAGGGGCUGGUCACUGGGACCCACGGUCCAUACCCCGACCCAGCUCUGUGGCCACCCCUGCUUACCACAAUGGAGGCCAGGAUGGGCACCUGGAUGAUCCACUUCUUGUUCCCGGAGCUCAAGUCCCAGCACCUGGGGGAGGUUGAGGCAUCAGCCCCCACCCCCUGCCGUUCCCAACCUGAGCCUUCCCACAGGGAGGCUCCAGAGCUGGUCUGCUCCGACAUUAGCUGUCCCCCAACUCCCACCAAGAGCACAGGACAGGGGAGUGUCAUAUAUGGCCAGGCCUGAGGCCACCCUCAGAGGUCCCUUUUGAAGUAGCCUCCGCUGACCCUGAGCGGGUACCCAGCUUGAAGCUGAACUGAAAGCUCCUGAAACUGGGCCACUCAGGGCCAGGGUACAGGAGGUGCCCCUCAUAUGCUCUACAGAGAAAGAGGGUAGCAGGGGUGUUUCUGGCCUGUGUCAGAGCCUCCUACCCACUUCUCCACCUGGACCUACCCGGUGUUUGCCAGGGUGGCUCUCACACUGACCCACACAGCCACGAAGAUGGCAGGCAGACCUGUGGGCACAGAGGGAGACAGUGUGUGAGGGACUGUCCAUGAUGUCUCUCUCCUCAGCCCACCUUGCCAGUCCCAUUCCCCUCAUCCCUGGUGACCCCCAGCUUAGCCCACCAUUGUCCCUGACACCCCUCACCCUGGGCACAUGGGCUAAUUGGUGACAGAGCCCUACUCUUGCAUGUGCUGCCCUGCUGUCUGCACAGCCUCCCCUCUGCACAGCCUCCCCUCAGGGCUCCAGCCCUCAGGACCCUGUUCAGCCCUCUGCCCUCAUCUUGGUUCCGCAUCUUGUACCACACAUGCACUCCUGCUGGGCACUUGGUGAAUAAGGUAUCACUAAUUUAUCCACACCCAGCCCAUUCUGCCCUCCCCUCCCCUAAAGGGUGCUGCUCUGGGCUAGGGGUUCCCUGUGAGGGAGGGAGCUUAUCAUCACGGGUUUUCUAUUCCAGCACUGCCACCCUUUAAAAAGUCCUAGCCCCAUGGAUGAGGCUGGAUAGGGUGUGCUGUUGUUCCAGGAUGGAUAAAGGGCUACAGGGAAAUCUCAGUGUGCCCAGGCCCAAGCUAACUCAGAUGGUACAUGGUACCUCUGAGUGAGUUUUGCCUCUAGGAAGGAGCCCAAAUCCCCACCCUCUGCCCCCACACACUUCAUUCUAGGCCCAGGGUACCCUUGGGAAGGGCAGGGCAUGACCUGGGUUUAUGCGAGGAAAAGAGCUGUGACAUUCCUGCGCCACAAAGUUCUCUGUGUUCCCCUAUCUGUGUGCUUCCCACCCACGCUGACACCCUCUAGCCCCAGAGCCCACAUCAGCCUGCAACUCUGGGGCUUGCCAUGGAUGAGGUCAAGGUCAGAGUGUGUCCACCAAAGGGCAGGGAGGCUAUGGCUGUUGAUGUGAGGGCCUCUAGGUGCUGAGCGCAGGGAGGGCUCCAGCCACCCAGCCUACCCUUCUGCAGUCUGGCCAGUUGCCCCGGAGCCUGGCCAAGCUCUGGAGCUGCCAACAAUAAUGGACAAUUAUUGGUAACUCGAUCCCACAGCCUGUGGGGGCGGGAGUGCAGAACCCCAGCAACCCAUUCUGCAGAGGAGCUGCUGAAGCCCAGAUGAUGCUAGAGCCAAGGCCUGCAGUUCUGGGCCAUGGACCCUGUGGGCAGGGUGGCAGAAGCAUGGACAGCUCCAUGCAGCGUGGGGACUGGUGGAGAAGUGGGGCUCAGGGUGGAGGGAGCGUUCCAGAUCCCAACUCCAGCCCCAGCAGUGGUGAUACAGUGGUGAGAAUAGCUGCCUUCCAACUCCAGCCCCAGGCUGACCUCUGACCCAAGAUCCACUCUGAUCUUGAGUGGAAUCUUGACCUGAGAGUCCCCCCCUCCCUCUCCUGGGCUGAGCCUCAACCCCGGGUGAACCUGCCUCCAGGUGAGCCCCAACUCCAGGCUGAGACAACCCCAAGUGAACCCUAACCCUUGGCCAAGCCCUGUUCCCUGAGCUUGGGGUGGGGGUGGGGGGCAGCCAGUCACAGAAGGCUCACCACCUGCUGCCCCACAUCCGGCACAGGAUACGCUGUAUGGGUGCUUUCCCCUCAGUGGCACUCUCUGACCCUGCUGCCCAUGGUCCCACCCUGCUUGCACCUCACUGCCUGCGUGCCUGCGUACCCCAGCCGAAGAUCGUGAAGCCCCAGAGGUACUUCUUCUCUGAGAAGAAGGCCAUGAAGAUGAGACUGUGCAGGGACCAUGGACUAGAGGAAGAAGGUCUAGUUUCCAGUGCCAGCUGGACUCCUGAAGAGCUGCCCACCUCAUGCAGGAAAUGGACUCAAGGAAGAGACCAGCUUGAGACUGGGGCAGGAGCUGUGACGUCAGUCCCAUUCUCCCGACCCUGGACACCUCUGCCUUGCCCUUUGCUCAGGGGGCCUUUUUCAAAGACCUAUUCUUCCUUCUGCACCUGCACUGGAUAGCUCCUCCUCCUGCAGGAAGCUGUCCCAGCCCACUCCAGCGGGGUCUGGAGCCCUCGUCAGUGCUCCUGAUCGUGGCGUGCCUCACUAGAUCUAAGCCAGUUCGAGGACUUCUUUGAGCCGCUUCUCACAUUGGGCCUGGGCACGGUGCAGCAAGAAGAUCUGCUCCUCUUUGGUCAUGACGUCAUCUGCAUCCACCUACCAAGCCGAAGGUCAGAUUGCAGGCAGGACUUCCCAGCAGAGCGGCAGACUCCACAACUAUCCCAACCUCCUUGAGGGAUUCCCCCCCCUUUCCAAAGAAUGCGGGAAAUCUGCCUUAUGUAGCUCCAUUGUACAGACGGGAAGCCUCGGCUUCAAGGGGAAGGGCCUGCCCCACCAUAGGGAAAAAAGGGGGAGGGGUGCUGUCCCCUGCUUGCCCGAUAGUAACCCCAUAGGCUGCAGCCACUGAUAUUCUCUGUCCAGUCUGUUCCCCAGGGGUACAUGGGAAAGGGAUGGAAUGUCCCAGGGUGGAUCCUCACAGGAUCCUGGCUGUCUAUUGGGGACCUGGGUGGAGAGGGGGUGGAUAAGGGGUGGUGAACUCUGGGGAAAGAAACGGGGCCUGGAUUCCUUCAAGUCCUAGUGCCCUCGGGACCUUGGGAGUCACCAAUUUCCAUCCUGGCCCUCUCCCCAGUCAGUGCUUUCCCCGUGAAUGGAGAGUGCCUCAACUCCUCCCACCCUUGAGGUCCCAAGAGGGAGAGGAUGGAGAAAUUGCUGGCAAGUGGUCUGGGUUGGGCGGGGCACUCCUGUGCAGGCUGUGGGUGGGAGUCACCCACAUCCAUUGCUUAUCUGGAAGUUCCCCUACAUCCAAGUAGACCCUGUGUUCUGAUGAUGUGGACAGGCCUUUGCUCCUGCUGUUCCCUCUGCCUGGAAUGUCCUUCCUUUCUUUCCUUCCAGCACGUACACCCUGGGUAUUGGCUGCCACCCACGAGGAUUCACUGGCAUCAUUUUAAGGAAGGGAGCAGGAACGUCACGGAGGUGGGGGUGAGAUGGGACUCACUCUGAGCCUCUGUUUCCCUGACUUAGGGUUGGAAGGAAGUCAGAGGGUAAAGGCAGCAUCCCGCCCUGGGAAAAACUCAGUGUGCCCAAGCCCAGCCACUCCCAUGAGUGGGACCCACAAGAGGUUAAUGCAUCCCCUCAGACCCCACCUUCACCCCCAAGUCAGGGCCAUGUCCUCGCAGACCCCCAGGACAGAGCCUGGUUCCCUUAGACCUUCAACAGGCAGAGCUGCAUCCCCUCAGACAUCCCCUGUCAGGGCCCGGUCCCUUCAGUCUGAGCGGAGCUUUGGAGGGUGGGAGAGCCCAGA
Molecule: non-coding RNA, 4163 nt
Organism: Delphinapterus leucas (beluga whale)
Lineage: Eukaryota; Metazoa; Chordata; Mammalia; Artiodactyla; Monodontidae
Source: RefSeq, a predicted model, not a curated record